UGGGGAAUAUUGCACAAUGGGCGCAAGCCUGAUGCAGCCAUGCCGCGUGUAUGAAGAAGGCCUUCGGGUUGUAAAGUACUUUCAGUCGGGAGGAAGGUGGUAAGGUUAAUAACCUUAUCAAUUGACGUUACCGACAGAAGAAGCACCGGCUAACUCCGUGCCAGCAGCCGCGGUAAUACGGAGGGUGCAAGCGUUAAUCGGAAUUACUGGGCGUAAAGCGCACGCAGGCGGUCUGUCAAGUCGGAUGUGAAAUCCCCGGGCUCAACCUGGGAACUGCAUUCGAAACUGGCAGGCUAGAGUCUUGUAGAGGGGGGUAGAAUUCCAGGUGUAGCGGUGAAAUGCGUGGAGAUCUGGAGGAAUACCGGUGGCGAAGGCGGCCCCCUGGACAAAGACUGACGCUCAGGUGCGAAAGCGUGGGGAGCAAACAGG
Molecule: ribosomal RNA, 429 nt
Filed under: Chloroflexota bacterium
Lineage: Bacteria; Bacillati; Chloroflexota
Description: Chloroflexi bacterium partial 16S ribosomal RNA
Rfam family: Bacterial small subunit ribosomal RNA
Source: RNAcentral